Molecule: ribosomal RNA, 442 nt
Filed under: uncultured bacterium
Lineage: Bacteria
Description: partial 16S ribosomal RNA
Rfam family: Bacterial small subunit ribosomal RNA
Source: RNAcentral
CCUACGGGAGGCAGCAGUGGGGGAUAUUGCGCAAUGGGCGAAAGCCUGAUGCAGCGACGCCGCGUGGGCGAAGAAGUAUUUCGGUAUGUAAAGCUCUAUCGGCAGGGAAGAAGAAAUGAAGGUACCUGCGUAAGAAGCACCGGCUAAAUACGUGCCAACAGCCGCGGUAAUACGUAUGUUGGAAGCGUUCUCCGUAUUUACUGGGGGUAAAGGGAGCGCAGCCGGACUGACAAGCCCGAGGUGAAAGCCUGCGGCCCAACCGCGGGACUGCAGUGGAAACUACCGAGCUUGAGUUCCGGAGAGGGAGGCGGAAUUCCUAGUGUAGCGGUGAAAUGCGUAGAUAUUAGGAGGAACACCAGUGGCGAAGGCGGCCUACUGGACGGUAACUGACGCUGAGGCUCGAAAGCGUGGGGAGCAAACAGGAUUAGAUACCCGAGUAGUC